ACAGAUCCGGAAACCAAUCGAAGAUUGACUCCUUCUAGUUCUAAUCCUAUGUAGCUAUGCUAAUCUAGAUGUCUAAUUGAUGUGGUGGCUCUAAUCUUGAUCAGAGGCUUCUUCUCCCUUGAUAGAACAAUGAAUUAGGGUUGAGAGGCUCUCUCCUCCAGGGUCCAGGGGGUCUGGUUUUAUAGUCCCUUCAAGUGAAUAUGGGCCCUUGGAUCAAACCGACAUAGAUUGUAUGGUUUAGAUUCAUCCUUUAGGUCGGUGGAGAUCUCCCGCAAAGCAGAGUCCUGAUUGGACUCAGGGGCAGGGCGGGCGCCCUGACCAACUGGGCGGCCGCCCAGGGUCUGGCCCCGUUUCGCCUCCGCUUCGGUCUCGUGGCUUCUGGAGUCUUCUAGAUGUAAGAUAAUUGCGCAGCACGUUAAUAUCUUUACGUAAUCCUGACAUGUGGGCCUUUCUUCCAUAUUUCCUGAUAACCCCCUGUAGAAAUAGACAAACACCAAAACUCAUGGAAUUCUGUCAGAUAAAACCCUAAGUCUAGAUGUUGAUUUCAUUUGGGUCCUUUUCUUUAUUUAUUUGAUAAUUAAAUUUGAUACUUAAGGACCGUCAACAAACUCCCCCAAGCUUACCUCUUGCUCGUCCCUGAGGAAAGAUAGACUCAGCUAUGGAUCAUAAGUUGUUGAAAUAUAUAUAUAUAUAUAUUUUAAAAAAAAUUGACGGUACACAUGCUUUUUAAAUAAGAUCUCAUCUCUGAGUAAGAGUAAACUGUCAAGACUUAAAACUUACUUACUUUACCUUUACCAUGGGACUUGUAACUGUCACUUCUGUCUUGAGUGGUUAAAAGAUAGAACAGUCUAGCCAAGUGCCAUGUCUCUUAUUCUUGAUCAGCUAUAGCUCUGGGGUUUUUGCAGAUUUUCAAAUAAAACUCAGAAAUUCCUUGUAUGAUUCUCUCAGGUCUCUCUUUUGUGGUAUUUUUGGAUCCUUACCAAGGCAUUGAUGGUAUAUGCCUUCUCUCAAGAUAUGUAGUAUUUGUGGUAUGAGGCAUAGUGACAUUGCCUUCUCUCUCACCCUACUCUAAUAAGGCUUUAAUAUCUGGAGCUCAUAGGUGGGAGAUAAAAUAUACAUACUUACAAGACAUUUAUUGUAUAGUCAAACCUUGGAUGCAAAGUAACAAGCCAAUAAGUUUAAUUAAGAUGUGCAUGGGUGGCGAAUGAAUGGUGUAUGGUGAUGAUGGUGAUAACAAUAGUGAAAACAAUGGUGGUGGAAGUCUAAUUCUACUUUGCUCUUUUGAGGGGAUACAUACCUUCCUUGCUUUUGAAACUUUAUGAGGAGAAUGAGAUGCUCUUCUCUCUUUUUUUUUCAGGUGGGUAUCUUGCACCCCUAAUUCUACUGUCGGACACUUGUCCAUUUUUACCUCUCGUCUCACUUUUUCUUUUCUUUUGAGGUUCCGAGCACUUGCUCCUUUUUAUUUCCUCGUAUCUCUUUUUUUCUUUUUUUUCAGAGCAUUUAUCUCUUGAGAUAAUAUAGCAAGUGGUAGUAACAAGAUAACUUGAGCAUUUAUUUCACAAGGGGAAAAUAGAAAUAUUUUUGGUUAUUCUCUCCCGGAUUAGGAGUAGAAUAUUUUUGGGUGAUUCUGGAGAUGGAAUGGGUGGAUAUAUGUGGAUGGUACUUCUGGAGUAGAAGUAGCAUAUAUGAGUGAACGUGCAAGUGAAUCUUGAUUUAACCACAUGACAAGCUCCUAAGGGUCUACACAGCUUGACCACACUCAAUGCUCAUAAGUAGUAAAUAGUAAAUGUGUGGCUCGAAGUCUAGCAAGCAUGUAUAUAUGGCUGUGGUAGGAAUUUAAACUCUCAUCAUACAGGAACUCAUCAUGCAACAUUUUAAAGAUUUUCAAAGAUAAAAUUCUCCAGAAUUCUAGCAUCUCUAGGAACAGAUAAACAGCAGCUCAACCUUCCCAUAUCGUAUCCGUUAACAACUUAGACUUCAGAUCAAGUUUUCAUCCCACAAGUUUAGGUCUAGAGCAAGCUUUAAAUUAUAACAGUUAUAUCUAAACUUGAGAGAGAACUUAAAAUGUGCAAAUUAGGCAAAGCAACUAUUCAUCAUAUCCAUGCUUAAGUUUUAUUUAGAUACAGAUAAGCAUAGCCACUUUAUUUAUUUAUUAAACAUACUAAGCAAAAGAUAUAUAUAAGUAUAAAAUCUUUAUUUGGUUUUUCAUAGUUUAUGUAUUUUAAUAUUCUAAAAUAAUAUAAGUAUAAAGAUAGAUAGAAAUACUUAUCGUGAUAAAUGGGGGUGCUCUCCCCCAAGCUGAAUUUUGACGUAAUUUCUCUUGGUGUAGCUAGCAGGUGGUAGAGGUGUAUUUGAAAGUCAGCAGCAUUCUGACAGCGAUUAGAAUGUCAUCCGUCUGCUAGUCUUCUUGAUUCCUAAAUUCUGUGGAGCUCAAAUAGACAACAAAGCUUGUGGAACUGAUUAAGUGUUAGCAUAAAUAUUUAGCCUUUAUUAUCUUGAGACUCCUUAAUAAUUAUUACUCCCUGUUUUUAUAUUUUUAUUUUAUAAAGCAGAAAAAUAUUUAUUUUAUUUUUAUGCCACCACAGUGAAUGUACUCAUGGGUGUUAUGCCACUCGUCUACUCACAUGGGGCUUACUGUUUUUUCACAUUUUUUAUUUUAUUUUUAAGAUAGUAUGAACUUGAUUAACUAAGUAAACUAUUUGAAAUAACUGAAAGGGAAAGGAUAACUACCAAGUUUACCUCUUGGCAAGGCGUUCGGUGUUUUUAAGUCCUCCGAACGGGACUCUCCAAUUUCUUAAUUGUCCUGAGGUUCGUUGGGUGGCGUAGUCGGUACUUCCGGCAGCGCCUCCUCUUCUUGUAUAGUUAUCUUCAUUUUCCAUACCUGACUCGGUGCUUCAAUCUCCUCUGGAUAAUUCUAUUUAAAUUCAACGUCUUCUGACCUUACAACUUCUCCUUCAUAGUCUGCCCAUCCGUCCUUGAUGAUCUGCCUCCUCUGGUUGCGGUUGCGUCUUUUUCUGACCUGCUUAGAUUCUUCAAUGAUAUAGUUAGGGUCAGUAAAAUAAUGGCGUACCUUCUCUGAGGGGAAGUGCAUAUGGACUUCUCCGGUUCCAAUGUAGAUAAUUGCUUUAACGGUGCUGAGGAAGGGUCUUCCAAGGAUGAUGGGUGGAUCAUACUCAUCUUCUCCCAUGUCAACAACUUGAAAGUCUGUGUAGACAAAGUGAUCGUCUAUUUUGACUGGGACAUCAGAUACUAUUCCUUUAACUUCUCGAAAUGUCUGAUCUGCCAUCUGGAGCUGAAUGUAUGUUGGUCUUAGUGGCAAGGUCCCGAACAAGAGCCGAUAAGUGACUGCGGCCAUUUUGUUGACGCCCGAUCCGGUGUCACAAAUCGUCUUGUAGAAGUUGUAUCCAUUUAUGGAGCAGUAGAUGCUUGGCAUUCUUGGGUCGUCCUUCUUGGUCAAAAACGGUGACUUAACUUGAUGAUCUUGGCCUCCAUGGACUACAGUGACCAUCUUAGCUGACUCGGUCCACACUUGCUUGUUCCUGUUUCUCCUGUUGGUCCUCUUCCUUGAUUCACGUCUGGAUUGAUCUUGAAUUUGUGUAGUCUUGUUCUUGAAGAAAAAUGUCUCCUUCUUCUCUUUGACGUAGAAACUGAUCUUGGCAGCACUAGCGUAGAUGAUAGCUCCCGUGGUGUUCAAGAAUGGCCUCCCUAGGAUGAUAGGUGCUUGUUGGGUAUUCUUAACAUCAUUACCAAAAGUAGACUAAGUUCUAAAUCUAGCAACGGUGCCAAAAAUGCCAAACCUAUCCCUCACACCACUUAAGCCAAGUUGUCAUCCCCAGCAUGACAUGAGAGACGCGGUAUUGAAAUAUGCAAUUGCUCUUCUAAAUAAAUAAUGAAUGGGAUCUGCAAGCGCACAGAUUAAUACCGAUGCAGCAUUUUAACCGGGAAGUAUUCCAGGUAUCGUUAUUUAUAUUUUUACCACUGGGAAGGGAUUAGAAAUCAUCACUAAUGAUUACAGAAUAGAAUAUGAGAUUGAGCAUCUAUCAUUGCAUGUAUAAUUGAGAACAUUAUAUCUAACUCAUCAUACAGGGAUAAGUGUCACAUAAAAGAUAUAUGAAAUAAUAAUAGUGACAAGGAUAACUAAUCUGAUCUAGCCACAUAAUAAAUAUGAUAAGCGCCUCAAUUAGAUACUCUAGAAAGUCAUUAGCAUGGUAUUAGAACGAACUACAAGAAUAUUCCCUAAGUUAUUCUCAACUAUAUAGUCUAGCAUAUCAUAGUUAGUGCAAGCAUACUUAGCAAUCAUUGCGAGACAAGACUACGCCCAUGCAUAGUGAUAUUAGCAAGGAAUAUGAGAAACAUAGCAAUCACUCCCCUGUAAUAAUGUUGCUCUGCCAGCCCAAUACACGAGAGGGGGACUAUAUAAGAAUCAAUGAAGCUGUCACUAUCACGAACCACCCCACGAUCUGGCAUAUUGGGUACAAUCGCAGAUAAAUACGGUAUAAGCACCACGCCUACACAAUAUCUAUCAUUUACCCAUGGAUCCGAUGGAUAAACGCUAUACGAUCCUAAUCAUGUAUAUAGAUCGUAUCUAACUAAGCCAAGUACAUAACUAUGAUAAACUAAGAACAAUAUAAUCUUGAAUAUAAGCAAAUAGAGCAAAGUCAUAAGCAAUAUAUUGAAGUAGAACAAAGUCAUAUUCAUAAUAUUGAAGAACAAAGAUAAUUAGAAAGCAAUUAGAGGCACAAUUAGAGAAUUACCAAGAAUCCUCCUGACAGAUCCGGAAACCAAUCGAAGAUUGACUCCUUCUAGUUCUAAUCCUAUGUAGCUAUGCUAAUCUAGAUGUCUAAUUGAUGUGGUGGCUCUAAUCUUGAUCACAGGCUUCUUCUCCCUUGAUGGAACAAUGAAUUAGGGUUGAGAGGCUCUCUCCUCCAGGGGCCAGGGGGUCUGGUUUUAUAGUCCCUUCAAGUGAAUAUGGGCCCUUGGAUCAAACCAACACAGAUUGUAUGAUUUAGAUUCAUCCUUUAGGUCGGUGGAGAUCUCCCGCAAAGCAGAGUCCUGAUUGGACUCAGGGGCAGGGCGGGCGCCCUGACCAACUGGGCGGCCGCCCAGGGUCUGGCCCCGUUUCGCCUCCGCUUCGGUCUCGUGGCUUCUGGAGUCUUCUAGAUGUAAGAUAAUUGCGCAGCACGUUAAUAUCUUUACGUAAUCCUGACAUGUGGGCCUUUCUUCCAUAUUUCCUGAUAACCCCCUGCAGAAAUAGACAAACACCAAAACUCGUGGAAUUCUGUCAGAUAAAACCCUAAGUAUAGAUGUUGAUUUCAUUUGGGUCCUUUUCUUUAUUUAUUUGAUAAUUAAAUUUGAUACUUAAGGACCGUCAACAAACUCCCCCAAGCUUACCUCUUGCUCGUCCCUGAGCAAGGAUAAUCUCAGUGAUAUAUUAGAAGUUGCUGCAGUACUUUAAAAAUUGACGGUACACAUGCUUUUAAAUGAGGUCUCAUCUCUGAGUUAGAGUAAACUGUCAAGACUUAAAACUUACUUACUUUACCUUUCACCAUGGGACUUGUAACCGUCACUUCUGUCUCGAGUGGUUAAAAGAUAGAACAGUCUAGUCAAGUGCCAUGUCUCUUAUUCUUGAUCAACUAUAGCUCUGGAGUUUUUUGCAGAUUUUCAAAUAAAACUCAGAGAUUCCUUGUCUGACUCUCUCAAAUCUCUCUUUUGUGGUAUUUCUGGAUCCUUACCAAGGCAGUGAUGGUAUAUGCCUUCUCUCAAUAUAUGUAGUAUUUGUGGUAUAAAGCAUAGUGACAUUGCCUCCUCUCUCACCCUACUCUAAUAAGGCUUUAAUAUCUGGAGCUCAUAGGUGGGAGAUAAAGUAUACAUACUUACAAGACAUUUAUUGUAUAGUCAAACCAUGGAUCCAAAGAAACAAGUCAAUAAGUUUAAUCAAGAUGUGCAUGUGUGGUGAAUGAAUGGUGUAUGGUGAUGAUGGUGAUAACAAUGGUGAAAGUCUAAUUCUACUUUUGCUCUUUUGAGGGGAUACAUACCUUUCUUGCUUUUUGAAACUUUAUGGGGAGAAUGAGAUGCUAUUUUUUUUCUUUUAUCUCAGGUGGGUAUCUUGUACCCCUAAUUCUACUGUCGGACACUUGUCCAUUUUUACCUCUCGUCUCACUUUUUAUUUUCUUUUGAGGUUCCGGGCACUUGCCCCUUUUUAUUUCCUCGUAUCUUUAUUUCUUUUUUUUAGAGCACUCAUCUCUUGAGAUAAUAUAGCAAGUGGUAGUAACAAGAUAACUUGAGCAUUUAUUUCAUAAGGAAAAACAGAGAUAUUUUUGGCUAUUCUCUCCCGGAUUAGGAGUUGAAUAUUUUUAGGUGGUUCUGGAGAUGGAAAUGAGUGGAUAUAUGUGGAUGGUACUUCCGGAGUAGAAGCACCAUGUGUGAGUGAAUGUGCAAGUGAAUCUUGAUUUAACCACAUGACAAGCUCCUAAGGGUCUACACAGCUUGACCACACUCAAUGCUCAUAAGCAGUAAAUAGUAAAUAUAUGGCUCAAAGUCUAGCAAGCAUGUAUAUAUGGCUGUGGUAGGAAUUUAAACUCUCAUCAUACAGGAACUCAUCAUGCAACAUUUCAAAGAUUUUCAAAGAUAAAAUUCUCCAGAAUUCUAGCAUCUCUAGUAACAGAUAAACAACAGCUCAACCUUCCCAUAUCGUAUCCGUUAAUAACUUAGACUUUAGAUCAAGUUUUCAUCUCACAAGUUUAGGUCUAGAGCAAGCUUUAAAUUAUAACAGUUAUAUCUAAACUGGAGAGAGAACUUCAAAUUUUAAAAUUAAGCAGAGCAACUAUUCAUCAUAUCCAUGCUAGAGUUUUAUUUAGAUACAGAUUAGCAUAGCCACUUUAUUUAUUUAUUAAACACACUAAGCAAAAGAUAUAUAUAUAAGCAUAAAAUCUUUAUUUGGUUUUCUAUAGUUAUGUAUAUUUAAAUUCUAAUAUAAUGUAAGUAUAAAGAUAGGUAGAAAUACUUAUCGGGAUAAAUGGGGGUGCUCUCCCCCAAGCUGAAUUUUGACGUAAUUUCUCUUGAUGUAGCUAGCAGGUGGCAGAGGUGUAUUUGAAAGUCGGCAGUAUCUUGACAGCGAUUAGAAUGUCCUCUGUCUGCUAGUCUUCUUGAUUCUUAAAUUCUGUGGAGCUCAAAUAGACAACAAAGCCUUGUGGAACUGAUUAAGUGUUAGCAUAAAUAUCUAGCCUUUAUCAUGUUGAGCUUCCUCAACAAUUAUUGCUCCCAAGUUUUUAUAUUUUCAUUUUAUAAAGUAGAAAGGAAAUAUUUAUUUUAUUUUUAUGCCACCACAGUGAAUGUACUUAUGGGUUUUAUGCCGCUUGUAUACUCACAUGGGGCUUACUAUUUUUCACAUUUUUAUUUUCUUUUUAGGAUAGUAUGAACAUAAUUAACUAAGUAAACUAUUUAAAAUAAUUGAAAGGGAAAGGAUAACUACCAAGUUUACCUCUUGGCAAGGCAUUCGGUAUUUUUAAGUCCUCCGAACGGGACUCUCCGUUUUCUCAAUUGUCCUGGGAUUCGUUGGGUGGCGUAGUCGGUACUUCCGGAGGCGCCUCCUCUUCAUGUAUAGUUAUCUUCUCUUUCCAUACCUGACUCGGUGCUAUGGUCUCCUCAGGAUAGCUCUAUUUAAACUCUACGUCUUCUGAUCUUACAACUUCUCCUUCAUAGUCUGCCCAUCCAACCUUGAUGAUUUGCCUCCUCUGGUUGCGGUUGUGUCAUUUCCUGACGUGCUUAGAUUCUUCAAAGAUAUAGUUAGGGUCAGUAAAAUAACGGCGUACCUUUUCUGAGGGGAAGUGCAUAUGGACUUCUCCGGUUCCAAUGUAGAUGAUUGCUUUAACAGUGCUGAGGAACGGUCUUCUAAGGAUGAUGGGUGGGUCGUAUUCGUCUUCUCCCAUGUCAAUAACCUAAAAGUCUGUGUAGACAAAAUGAUCGUCUAUUUUGACUGGGACAUCAGUUACUGUUCCUAUAACUUCUCGAAACAUCUGAUCUGCCAUCUAAAGCUGAAUGUAUGUUGGUUUUAGGGGCAUGGUUCCGAACAAGAGCCGAUAGGUGACUGUUGAUAUUUGGGAACGCAAUAAGGAAUUGAUCCGCAAGCGCACGGAUAUCAGUGAGCACUUCACCCGAGAAAUUAUCCAGAGUAUCGUAUUUAUUUUUUUACCACUAGGAGAAAGAGUGCAUCUGACUAACCGGUCUAUUACUACUAACCCUUUAGGCACAAAGAAUGUCUUUCGAUGUGAGUGAUAAAUAGAGAAGACUGCAACCGUAGUCUCCUUCUAACCUUGGUAAGGAUGAUUUACUGCUCUAUUGGGGAGGCUAACGGAAUCUAGACACCACGAAGGAUGUUCAACCCGCACCUAUAAACCCUAUCCUUCCUGCUAACGAGAUAUGGUAUGCAAAGGUAACUCGGAAUUGUCACGUUCCUCACUACUACCACGGUCCAGCUAGUCAGGGAAUAUCUAUGAGUACCCCAGCCUAAACACCAUGUUUACGCCAGUAAUGAUUACUCUAAACUCUACGCGAAGAGAUUAAAGUAAACUCAUAAACCAGAAGAAUAAUAAAACAAGAACUUACUAGAAUUUAGAAGUCGAAAUACUGAAGAAUCC
Molecule: long non-coding RNA, 8636 nt
Filed under: Sorghum bicolor (sorghum)
Lineage: Eukaryota; Viridiplantae; Streptophyta; Magnoliopsida; Poales; Poaceae
Description: long non-coding RNA (SBIC_LNC014326)
Source: RNAcentral